This 329-nucleotide long non-coding RNA is filed under the name Hordeum vulgare. Its description in RNAcentral is "long non-coding RNA (HVUL_LNC017463)". Lineage: Eukaryota; Viridiplantae; Streptophyta; Magnoliopsida; Poales; Poaceae. The record is from RNAcentral.
GGACAGGGGGCGGAAACGUAUGAAGUCGCAUCGGUCGCAGGUGUAGGGGAGGAAAUCGAUCUGGUGGCAGUCGCCGACGCUGCAGUGCCGCCCCAGGUCAGGGAACUCCGGCGUUCCCAUGGCCCGUCGGAACCGCGCGGCCUUCGGGAGAUCCGAGCAAACUCGCCGACUCGCGCCCGUCCGCUCCGACGGCUGCCUCGGUCGCUGCCACCGGCAGGGAAGGGGGGAGAAGGUCGCUCGCACGCAAGUACGCGGAACGACGGAAGGGGCACGAAAAUCGAGGAAGGUCGCUCGCACGCACGUACGCGGAACGGCGGAAGGGGCACGUA